UCGUAGGGCUUCUGCCCUGUCGAGAUAGCGUCCUUGCCUAUUUUUUGGAGUACCUUUUCGUUUCCUCAGCAGGCUUGCCUGCUACUGGGGACCCUUUAAACUCUUUGUAAAUACAGCAUCUGUCUGAAAAAACAAAUAAAAACA
RNAcentral lists this unclassified non-coding RNA (144 nucleotides) under uncultured fungus. RNAcentral describes it as "sequence contains ITS1, 5.8S rRNA gene". Lineage: Eukaryota; Fungi. The record is from RNAcentral.